GUGCCAAUAUAAUCAAUCUCUCAUCGGUUAGGAACUCCGGCAGCUGGUCCCAGACUCCUUUGGCGGUUGCCUUGGACACUGUGUAGAACACACAGGACAUGCUGUUGCUGCAUUAAACCAACUCACUUUAUUUCAAGGGCAAUCCAGAGUCCAUAGCAACAUGUCAUCCUGCCUGGGUGCAAUGGCGGCCAGUCUUUCUGUGCACCCAAUCUCCUGUAUCUACGGAAGGGUCAGUUGCUAGGGCUCUAUGGCGGUAUAUCGGGGUUCUACCCCCUUCUUGUGCUAGGACCAAAAUUCCAGGGGCACUCUGUCUUUCUGUUGUCUCUGUCACAGUGCCUGACCCAGCCCUUCUGGAGUCACAGACACAUCGAACUCAAAUGCUGGCCCUGCUUUGGAGAUGCCCAGAGCUUUCAUCUGCUUCACUAGUACUUUUGUCUUCUUAAAGGUGCUGGCUGCUUUGAUUCCCUUUCUUUUCUAGGCAGGAUAAGGAAUAGAGGCACUGUGUCAAGUGGGGAAUGAACGUUCUCUACAACCACCAAAUCCCUACAAAGGCUUGUACUUCUUUCACACUUAAAGGGAUUGGAUGGGCUAACAACCUAGCGAUCACAGCUUCCGAGACAACACGUGUCUUACCUGACCAAAUGACUCCCAAGACUUUAUGGUAGUGCCUGGGCCUUGAAUUUUCUGUAGGUUCACUGUCUAUUCUCUCCCUUGUAAGUGUAUCACCUGCAAGGUGUCCUGCAACAAGCAUAUCUUUGCACGUUAAUAUUAUAUCGUCAAUGUCAUGGGCCCAUUGUACUGAUGAGGGGAAGGAGAAUAGCGACAGACCUUGGGCUACUUGGAGAAGCCCUUGAAAGGUCCAUUGUUGCUCCCUGCCACCCCCCCCCCCCCCCACUGCCAUGUGAAGGCAGAUUAAUCUUGUGACUCAGGUGCCAGGGGGUUUCUGAAAAAGACAUUUGCUAAGUGCAGCAUAGCAUGAUACACUCUAGGACCCUGGCCAAGGUAUCUACGAUGGUGGCGAUGUUGGGAACAGCUGCAUGGAUGGGGGGCACUAUUUUGUUCAAUUCUCAGUAUUCCGCUGUCAUCUGCCAUGAAGCUUACUUACAGAUCUUACUGGGCUAUGGAAAGCAUGAUGGGCAGGAAGUAUGAUACCCACUCUGAGCAGUUCCUGGAUAAGUUUCUCUUAUCUCCUUAUGCCCCCAGGGAACUUAUAUUGUUUGACUGUUACCACCCCUUAUGGGGGUGGCAGGCUUACCAGUUCCCAGCUGGCAUUUCCUGUCAGCACUUAUUUGAUUACUGUAACUACAGGUGGAAUUCAGCAAUACAGGUUUGCAGAUUGACUUUGGAGGGUAUGAAUGCCCAAUAUGUUCUCUGGUAUUGGGGAGGUAAAAAUAUCAUGUUCUUGGGCAGGGGUGGAGAACACCCAAUUGCAGUGUCAAAAAGACCUUUCUGACCAUAACUAUUUGCUCUCCUUAAUUAUCAAUGGUGUGAGGGGCCAGGAAACUUCUGAUGGUUACCAUGUAUUAGAGUACAUUCAGCUCCAGGGUCUACCAGAGUUUACCCUUUGUUUAUUUCUGGAGGACCAGUGAAUAGUGAGCUCUAUACGAGGCUUCUGGUCACCUCUACUGACCCUCACCUGGAGGUAAUCUUGGCUUGCAUCCUAUGCCCAGGGCAUUGGGAGGCACCCACCGUAAAUAAGACUGUAUUCCUAAGGCCUCUGUUGGAGCAGGUGGGGCAUCAGGGAUGGUAGAGGCAGAUGGGGCAGGUCUGAAUUGUUCAGGCUUUAAGGCUUCCCAUACGACAACCAACACAGCAUUGGGCUGUUGGUCUAUCUGUUCAGAUGGGAUCCCCGCAGCAGUGAGGUCAAACCACAUUUCAUUCAGGUUACUUUCAUAGGAUCCUUUACAGCCUUUUGGCUCUUCCAGCUCCCUCUCUGUUUCGGGUCUUUUCCACAUCCCAUCCUCAUUCCUGGCAUUUGUCAGUCCCCUUCAGAUCAGCAAUGAAUCAGCCAACAUCAUAAACGUCUGUCCCACGACUGGGCUCAGCACGGACAUCAACAUCCCAUACCGGGUGCUAGAGCAGACUAGAGAAUCUUAGUUUUCAUUCCUGCAAUGCAUGUGGGCCUGAUUAGGGCCUUCAAAGACAGGGGCAUAGAUGAUGGUCUGUUUCAUUUCCAAUUCUCUAAGAAUUUUCUUUUCUUUUUCUUUUUCAACAGAUCCUGCCUCAGGUUUAUUUGUGCAACUAGCACAGAAAGAUACCAGCCCCUGCAGAUAGAAGCCCAGGGUAACACCAGUCUUCUGUCCUCACAUUGGCAGACAGAAACCUCCAUAUUAGAGCCUUUAUUAGGGACCCGGCACCUCCAGCCACAUCUGGGGCCAGAGCCACAACCUGGGCCUUGGUUUGAAUCUUGGCCUUGGCCUUUGGUUGGCAGAGCCUGAGACACUUGGCAUUACGGGCAUGAGCACAUUUCCAGAGCAUGGGGUGAGUGAUGUAAGCAAGUUGAUUGAGCUUGCGGCUGCCAACCUUUGGGAUCACGGACUUGUCAAGGGCAUUGAUAGCCUCAGCACAUACAGCCAUGGCCUUGGCAUUACUGGCCUCCAUCUCCUUUAGCCCUUCUUGUUGUGCUUUCUGGCAAAGCACGUGUUCCUCAGGAACUUGGGGUCCACCCCCUUAAGAGAUUCAUAUCUUUGGGGCACCUAGGUGGCUCAGUUGGUUAAAUGUUCGAGAUUGGCUCAGGUCAUGAUCUCGUGGUCUGUGAGUUCGAGCCCCACUUUGGGCUCUGUGCUGA
RNAcentral lists this long non-coding RNA (2788 nucleotides) under Lynx pardinus (Iberian lynx). Lineage: Eukaryota; Metazoa; Chordata; Mammalia; Carnivora; Felidae. The record is from RNAcentral.